UACUGGGCCCAGUCCCAGGACUAUCCAAGUGUGAAGCCAACACCUUUUCACAUCAACUCCAAGUUCCAUGGGCUGACUGGACUCCACUGGGAGUUCUUGAUGUCUCUCGUGUGGUUGUGUGAGAUAGUGGCUGGGACUGGACUCAUCUGAAGGCUUGACUGGGCUGGAUGCCCAAGAUAGCCCACUUUUAGACAGAGGUGGCUGGCAGUUGAUGCUGACUGUCAGCUGGGGACUCAGCUGAGAGUGUUAACUGGAGUCCCUAGACGUGGCUUCUCCACAUGGCUUGGGCUUCUCAUGGAAGGGCACCUGGAUUCUGAGAGAGAGCAUCCCAAGAGACACAAGUGGAAAUGAUAAGGCUUCUUAUGACGUAGACUGGAGGUACUGAGACAUCACUUUUGCUACAUUAGAAGGUUAGAUGCUGACAUUUUAUGAUUUCACAACUUGGAUCCUCUGUCCUCUGAUACUGAAUCAGAUAGUAGUUUAUGGAGCUGAGCAGAGAGCCAGCUGGUCCUGGGCACAGAGGAGGCUGUGUUCCAUGCUGAAGACAAGAACAUAUGGUGGACGUACCAUCCUAACUAUCUGGGAAGGGAGCUUCGUGGCUACAUGGGAGUUAUCAUCUGCCAGUGCCGGCUGCAUCCUGGCUGUGCCCACCUCUGGACUCUGAAUCUCUGCACCUCAGUACCCCCAACCCCAACACGACUGUGAUGUUAGGCAUAUAUUAGGCAUGUGAAGAUGAGAAAGAGAAGAUACAGCUCCCAUGUUUAUCUCCAUGAGAAGAUAAGCCACAGGGAGAGAGAAAGACUGUUGUGCACGAGAGGGAGUGUCAAAUGCCAAAUGGAUGUCAGCAGUCGGGGUGUGCU
This is a long non-coding RNA of Homo sapiens (human), 860 nucleotides long. The record is from Ensembl. NCBI's taxonomy places the organism in Eukaryota, Metazoa, Chordata, Mammalia, Primates, Hominidae.